UACGAAGGGGGCGAGCGUUGCUCGGAAUUACUGGGCGUAAAGGGCGCGUAGGCGGGAUGGCAAGUCGGUCGUGAAAGCCUUCGGCUCAACCGAAGAACGUCGGCCGAUACUGCCGUUCUUGAGGGAUGCAGAGGAGACUGGAAUUCCCGGUGUAGCGGUGAAAUGUGCAGAGAUCGGGAGGAACACCGGUGGCGAAGGCGGGUCUCUGGGCAUCUCCUGACGCUGAGGCGCGAAAGCGUGGGGAGCAAACGGG
RNAcentral lists this ribosomal RNA (253 nucleotides) under uncultured bacterium. RNAcentral's name for it is "partial 16S ribosomal RNA". It matches the Rfam family "Bacterial small subunit ribosomal RNA", at positions 524 to 776 of the family's 1533-position model. The record is from RNAcentral.